AUUGAACGCUGGCGGCAGGCCUAACACAUGCAAGUCGAGCGGAUGACGGGAGCUUGCUCCUUGAUUCAGCGGCGGACGGGUGAGUAAUGCCUAGGAAUCUGCCUGGUAGUGGGGGACAACGUUUCGAAAGGAACGCUAAUACCGCAUACGUCCUACGGGAGAAAGCAGGGGACCUUCUGGCCUUGCGCUAUCAGAUGAGCCUAGGUCGGAUUAGCUAGUUGGUGGGGUAAUGGCUCACCAAGGCGACGAUCCGUAACUGGUCUGAGAGGAUGAUCAGUCAAGCUGGAACUUGGACACGGGCCCGACUCCUACGGGAGGCAGCAGUGGGGAAUAUUGUACAAUGGGCGAAAGCCUGAUCCAGCCAUGCCGCGUGUGUGAAGAAGGUCUUCGGAUUGUAAAGCACUUUAAGUUGGGAGGAAGGGCAGUAAGUUAAUACCUUGCUGUUUUGACGUUACCGACAGAAUAAGCACCGGCUAACUCUGUGCCAGCCGCCGCCGUAA
This 500-nucleotide ribosomal RNA is filed under the name uncultured bacterium. RNAcentral describes it as "partial 16S ribosomal RNA". It matches the Rfam family "Bacterial small subunit ribosomal RNA", at positions 30 to 523 of the family's 1533-position model. The record is from RNAcentral.